CUACGGGUUGCACCAGGCGCGAAACCUUUACAAUGCACGAAAGUGUGAUAGGGGAACUCAAAGUGCUUUACUUAGGUAAGGCUUUUGCCAAGUCAAAACCGCUUGGCGAAUAAGUGGUGGGUAAGACGGGUGCCAGCCGCCGCGGUAACACCUGCGCCACAAGUGGCAACCACGUUUAUUGGGCCUAAAGCGUCCGUAGCCGGUUUUGUAAGUCUUCUGUGAAAUUGUUAAGCUUAACUUAACAGCGCGCAGAAGAUACUGUAAAACUAGGAACUGGGGGGAGUCAGAAGAAUUUCUGGGGGAGCGGUAAAAUGUUAUAAUCCCAGAAAGACUACCAGUGGCGAAAGCGUCUGACUAAUACAGAUUCGACGGUGAGGGACGAAAGCCAGGGGAGCAAUCCGGAUUAGAUACCCCCGUAGUC
This 421-nucleotide ribosomal RNA is filed under the name uncultured archaeon. RNAcentral describes it as "partial 16S ribosomal RNA". It matches the Rfam family "Archaeal small subunit ribosomal RNA", at positions 323 to 746 of the family's 1478-position model. The record is from RNAcentral.